GUUGUAUGGUUAAGUGACUAAGCGUACAUGGUGGAUGCCUUGGCAGUCAGAGGCGAUGAAGGACGUACUAACCUGCGAUAAGCCGUGAGCAGUCGGUAAGAGACAUUACGACUCACGGAUUUCCGAAUGGGGAAACCCACUCAGCAUAAGCUGGGUAUCGCUACGUGAAUACAUAGCGUAGCGAGGCGAACCGGGAGAACUG
This 202-nucleotide ribosomal RNA is filed under the name Aeromonas dhakensis. RNAcentral's name for it is "partial 23S ribosomal RNA". It matches the Rfam family "Bacterial large subunit ribosomal RNA", at positions 1 to 195 of the family's 2925-position model. Lineage: Bacteria; Pseudomonadati; Pseudomonadota; Gammaproteobacteria; Aeromonadales; Aeromonadaceae. The record is from RNAcentral.